This is a long non-coding RNA of Heterocephalus glaber (naked mole-rat), 371 nucleotides long. The record is from Ensembl. Lineage: Eukaryota; Metazoa; Chordata; Mammalia; Rodentia; Bathyergidae.
UUUAUUUGGUGGAAUAGCAUUCUUUUUUCCUAUGGAAUUACCUUGAAGUUGUCUCUAAAUACUUUAAAAAUUAAUCUACACUUUAAAAAGGUGGAUAAAGAGGCAUUGAAAAAAGUGAGAACAGAUAGAGAUGUAGCCACUGGAGUCAGACAAUUGAAGAUAUAAUAAUUACUGAUAAAGGCUGUUGGUCCAGGAGAUAUUCAAAGGACAAAACCAAGAAAGACAACUCAUAAACUCUUCCUAAGUGGUGUGUAGUCUGUAUUCAAAUAUCUCAAAGAUUCAAGAUGAUAUUGGCUCUCUGCCCAUGAAGAGACAAUAUUUACUGAUGUGGAAUUGGAAAGUCUAAAAAAGCUGCCUCUGUUUCUGUGUAU